This 395-nucleotide ribosomal RNA is filed under the name uncultured bacterium. RNAcentral describes it as "bacterial SSU rRNA". It matches the Rfam family "Bacterial small subunit ribosomal RNA", at positions 971 to 1425 of the family's 1533-position model. The record is from RNAcentral.
UUACCGGCUUGACAUAAAAGAGAUUCCCUCGGGCACAGGUGCUGCAUGGUUGUCGUCAGCUCGUGUCGUGAGAUGUUGGGUUAAGUCCCGCAACGAGCGCAACCCUGUCUUAGUUGCCAUCAAUUGGGACUCUAAGAGACUGCCUGGAUUAACAGGAGGAAGGUGGGGAUGACGUCAAAUCCUCAUGGCCCUUACGCCGGGCUAGACACGUGCUACAAUGGGGUACAAGGGGCAUCGCGAGACACGCAAUCCCUAAACCUUCUCAGUUCGGAUAGGAGUCUGCAAUUCGACUCCUUGAAGUUGGAAUCGCUAGUAAUCGCGAUCAGCAUGCGCGGUGAAUACGUUCCCGGGCCUUGUACACACCGCCCGUCAAGCCAUGGAAGAUGGAGGCCGAA